This is a long non-coding RNA of Anastrepha obliqua, 2209 nucleotides long. RefSeq lists it as uncharacterized. Lineage: Eukaryota; Metazoa; Arthropoda; Insecta; Diptera; Tephritidae. The record is from RefSeq and is a predicted model, not a curated record. The transcript has 2 exons.
UUUCCCCAUGCACGGAGGCGUCUAUUUCUAAAAGUUGUCACAACAAGACUGUUUCUCAGAUCAGUCAGAGAAUUGGGGUGCACAUUUUUUGAAAGAUCCAUCUGGACAACAAAAUAUUCACUUUAAGACUGCAGCGCCAUCUGUUCUAAUUUUCUAUAACUUUGCCGUCAAGUACACCUAUAGCGCCAUAUGUUGCCCCCUAGACGUCGGCCCAUAAUUAGUUAUAGUAGAAGGUUCUCUCUAGGUGACGGGAGUUUAAUGUUUAAUUAUAUGUCUGUUUUACCAGGAAAGAUAAAAUAAGGUAAAAAAUAUAAAAGUUCAGAGCUGAGAAUUUUCUUCCUCGACAUUGAAAAGGUGGUUUUAAACCGAAGUAGGUUGUUUUAAAAAUGCAUAAGUUACCAAAAAGAGUUCACUUAGUAGUACGUAAUUAAACACAGCUCGCAAUACCCGUGGCAACAUGCAAAUUGAUGAAGCUGAGUAGCUUCGACUAAGUGACACAUCAGUGGAGAAUUUAAUAAACUUUCUUUCUGAUGAUGGGGAGAUUUCGAAGAACUCAUUAUAGAAAAGCUGAGAUUGGCGGAACAUGUUUCCAAUGAGCCUAUCUUCAUAUAUGUAGGGGGAUGAAGUGUCCAGAAGAGGCCUAAUAAAGCACAGCACCAAAUUUCUGGGUGCUGCAAAAAAUUAGAAUGCUAGGAAAGUUUUCAUCUUGAAACUAUUCGGCACUGCAUCAACUACUUGGAAAACCUUACUGCAUGUUUGCAGUGGCAUGGAAAUGCCAGCAGUCGCGUCAAACUGCUUUUUUUCGAGACAAGAAUAUAUCAUUAUAAAUUUACACAAAUCAAUUCGAAAUAAAAAGAAUUCAUAAAAACAAGCUCUUCGAAUAUAAUAAUAAUUAAUUUAAAUAAGUACAAAUAGUUUGGCAAAUAGUUAGCAGCAUAGGAAAAAUUGUGACUUGAGGUCGGAACUCCACGCUUCUUCAAUGAAAGAAUUCAUAUUUUGCUUAGGUAAUAUAAUAGCUUCAUAAUGGCGAAAAUUGGCAACUUCGCGAUCUGUUUUAAAUUUAAAAAUUAUUUCACAAAUUCGAUUAAAUCCUUUGUUUUCACUUGCCUUUUUCAGCCGCUAACUUCUACUUUUACCAUAUUUAACACUUAAUUUUAAUUUAUUUUUUAAACCAUUUAAGUAAAUAAAAAACAACUUUGCUACCAUUUUAACUAAAAGGGAUUUGAUUUUUUCCACUUUCUUUACCACUCUUAAGGAUCAAAACUACAAUGUCACAAGUGAGCAAACCAUAAAUUGAAUCAUGGCGAAGCAGUUUUGCGUGUGUGUGUGUGUAUUUUUUUUUUUCAAAAGUAAACUACAAAAAAUUCCAGGAUGAAAAGAGAGAGAAUAGCGUUAUUGUUUUUUCAAUUCGCAAAUUAAGUAAAAAAAAUUGCAUUUUCAAAAAAAAUGUAUGUAUUAAAAAUACAAAUAAACGAAUUAAAAAUAUUUCAAUAUUUUCCGAUUUUUUUUUUACACAAAACGUUUUAUAAUUUAAUACGCUCAAUAUUCUCAUUAAUAUUUCACAUGUGGAAUAAGUAAAUAAAAGUUUUACUAAAAUGCAAGAAUUUAAUUUUUUUUUUUAAUUCUAGCAUUUUCUAUCAAAUUUUAAAAAUACCAAAUCAAAAAAUACCAUUAUUUAUACGGAGGUAUAGUAAUUAAAAAAACACCUCCAAACCAAGCGUUAUAGACUGCGUCACAAUCUUAAAUUUUUCAAUUAAACUUUGAUACAUUGUAUUAAAAAACAACUUAUACAUAUUUCAACUAAGAAUUUGUAGCAUCAAAAAUAACUGAACCGUUACUAUAUUACAAAAGCCCCGAAAAACCAGCCAUCAAGCAGUGUAUUUUUUUUGUAUGCUGAAAUGUAUGAGGAGGAGUUGAUUGCUAACAAAAUAUUAAACUAAACACAAUUUAUGUAUGUUUGCAUGUACGUGGAAUAAGUAAAACAAGUUUGCUAAUUAUUUUAUUUAGCUGAGAAGAAGCAGAAUUUUAUGCUAACUAAUUUUACAGAUAAUCGCCGCAAAUUCUAAGCGUUGAAAAUCAAGCAAGCAAGCAAAUGUAAUAAAGGAUACAACGGUUAUGUAUGAGAAAUGCUCUAUUUUAAGUAUAUUUUUUAACAAAAUAAAUUACCAAAAAAAAAAAACCGAAAUUAAAAUAAAUAAUAGAAUAAUCU